UUCGGACGUAACCCAUGGGAGAUGG
Molecule: small RNA, 25 nt
Filed under: Bombyx mori (domestic silkworm)
Lineage: Eukaryota; Metazoa; Arthropoda; Insecta; Lepidoptera; Bombycidae
Description: ovarian small RNA-37416
Source: RNAcentral